GGCCCGGUGGUGUAGCGGUUAACAUGCCGCCCUGUCACGGCGGAGAUCGUGGGUUCAAGUCCCAUCCGGGUCGCCA
This 76-nucleotide transfer RNA is filed under the name Veillonellaceae bacterium. RNAcentral's name for it is "tRNA-Asp". It matches the Rfam family "tRNA". From Rfam's summary of the family: Transfer RNA (tRNA) molecules are approximately 80 nucleotides in length. Their secondary structure includes four short double-helical elements and three loops (D, anti-codon, and T loops). Lineage: Bacteria; Bacillati; Bacillota; Negativicutes; Veillonellales; Veillonellaceae. The record is from RNAcentral.